CUCAACAACUAGCCAAUCUCCAUCUCCAAAGCGCAUUCUUUCAUCUUCACUCACGCAGAAGCCAUGGGAAGCGCCACUAAGGGGAGAACCACCAUUGACGUUGGAGCUGAUGGUGUAGCGGUCAUCACCAUCAUCAAUCCUCCUGUUAAUUCGCUCUCUUUCGAUGUGCUAAAAAGCUUGAAAGAUAGUUUUGACCAAGCCUUAAGAAGAGAUGAUGUGAAGGCAAUUGUUGUCACUGGGGCAAGUUCUCGGGUGGCUUUGAUAUUACUGCAUUUGGUGGAGUUCAAAGCGGAACUGUGGAUCAACCAAAGCGUGGUUUUAUAUCAGUUGACAUUCUAACUGACACUGUAGAAGCUGCAAGAAAACCUUCAGUGGCUGCCAUUGAUGGUCUUGCCUUAGGUGGAGGAUUAGAGGUUGCAAUGGCAUGUCAUGCACGUAUCUCAACUCCCACUGCACAAUUAGGCCUGCCUGAACUUCAACUCGGAAUAAUUCCUGG
This 496-nucleotide unclassified non-coding RNA is filed under the name Hevea brasiliensis (rubber tree). The record is from RNAcentral. Lineage: Eukaryota; Viridiplantae; Streptophyta; Magnoliopsida; Malpighiales; Euphorbiaceae.